Molecule: long non-coding RNA, 23255 nt
Filed under: Gossypium barbadense (sea-island cotton)
Lineage: Eukaryota; Viridiplantae; Streptophyta; Magnoliopsida; Malvales; Malvaceae
Description: long non-coding RNA (GBAR_LNC003533)
Source: RNAcentral
CACGUUGCAGCAAGGUAUGGACAUUCUGCUAUUGUGAAACUUCUAAUCAAGUCUUGCGCAAAAGCUAGAGAUGGAGAUUCUAAAGUCUAAAUCGAAAGAUAGUCUUAAAUAAACGAAUAAAAAUAUAACCACAUCUUUAAUUAAAUGACAAUUAGAAUAAAUAAAUGUAGUCAAAAUAAUAUAAUGAGUUUGAUUCGUUGUGACAAAUUUCUAUUAAUUUCCCAUUUUAACAUUUUAUUUUUGAUUUCAAUAGAGUAAAAAUAAUUAGGUGUUUUAAUGACCCAUUAGGUCAAUCAAGAUUUCGGGCCAAGAAAUUUGAAGAAUGAUCCCAAUGUAGUGAUAUCCAUUAGUGGUAUCGUAACACUGAUUUAGUAGUGGUAGCACUUAUAGCCACCGUCACAUUUGCAGUAGCAAUAACCGUACAUAUGUAUAGCUCGUCAACUAGGCAAAGCUCACAGUUACUUUUUAGUUCUUCCCAAACACUUUACUCUUCCCCUUUUGAACUUGUAGUGUCUGACGUGGGACCAGCUCAUGUGCAAUCGAAUGGUUUCUCUUAUUGUGUUUCGUUUGUAUAUAUACAUAGUAGGUACACUUGGCUGUAUGUAACGCCCCAAAAAUCUCGAAAUCCAAAAAUUUUAAAAUCGUGAAUUUUUCUUUUUGUGCUUAGCAAUCCCGGUUAAGUGUUAAUUACGCGUUGAUAGGUCUUGGUCAAGGUUUGAGUUCGAAUCUAGGGUAGAAGAAAUUAAAGUUUAAUAAUUAAAAGGGCCUUGUUGGCAAGUAGUUGGGCUUUUAAAUAAAGGUAGGGGAAAAUGGCAUCAAAAAGUCUUGUGGUGAAAUGGCUAAGUGGCGCCAGUUAGAGUAAAGGGAGGUAACGUUAGUGGCUAGUAAGGAGAUCCAAGGUUUGAAUCCUAGCUUAGUAUUUUUGGGAGUUUAAUUUUGUGAAACUUCUAAUCAAGUCUUGCGCAAAAGCUAGAGAUAGAAAUUCUAAAUUCUAAAGUUUAAAUCGAAAGAUAGUCUUAAAUAAACGAAUAAAAAUAUAACCAUCUUUUAAAUGGCAAUUAGAAUAAAUAAAUGUAGUCAAAAUAAUAUAAUGAGUUUGAUUCGUUGUGACAAAUUUCUAUUAAUUUCCCAUUUUAACAUUUUAUGUUUGAUUUCAAUAGAGUAAAAAUAAUUAGGUGUUUUAAUGACCCAUUAGGUCAAUCAAGACUUCGGGCCAAGAAAUUUGAAGAAUGACCCCGAUGUAGCGACAUCCAUUAGUGGUAUCGUAACACUGAUUUAGUAGUGGUAGCACUUAUAGCCACCGUCGCAUUUGCAGUAGCAAUAACCGUAACUGGUGGUUUGAAUACUGAAAAACUGUCAGAGCACGGCACUCUUUUUCUGAUUGAUGAGGCAGCCUUUAAAGCAUUUGUUGUAACAAAUGCAUUGGCCUUUAUUCUUUCUAUUUUGGCUCUCUCCAUCCACUUUGGGAUUCUGGAUCCUCUUUUAUCAAAAUUAAUUUUUUUGGGAUAUUAAUAUAAUCUUAUAUUGAAAUUAGUCUGUUGCUAAUCUCCUUGGCCGUGCAAUGUUUGCAAUGGUGAUUGCUUUUAGCACAAACAGUUAUGUUUUAAACCAUCACAUGAACUUGCCAUUACUUCAUGUUUCAUCUACCCUGGCUUUUUUGUUUGUUAUUAUGUACAACAAUCCCUAACUUUCGUUAAGAGGUUGUUGUAGUGAUGAUAACUAAUUUCAUAAAUAAUAUAAUGAGUUUCAUCUGCUAUAAUUCGUUGUGACAAAUUAAGUUCUUUUCUGUAAUUAAUAAGUUUAUUUUUAAGUAAUUUGAUUACAUUUCUAUUAAUUUCCCAUUUUAGUGUUUUAUGUUCGAUUUCAAUAAAAUAAGCAUUUUUACAUGAUUAGGUUUUUUAAUGACCCGUUAGACAAAUUAGAGCCUAAGAAACGACUAAUGGAUUAAUUGAGUGUGUAGGACACUAUUUCAGGCCGAGAAAUUUGAAGAACGAUCCCAAUGUCACAAUAUCCAUAUUAGUAGUGUUGUGACAACCAACUUCGAAGGUCAGAAUGGGGAUGCAAAGACUAUAGUGUCGCGAAAAUGAACUUUGAACGCAAGCUAGGAGAGUAAACUCGACGAUGUCGUGACACCCAACUUCGAGGCCAAAGAAGUCUCAUUCGAUGUCUGAUGUCUUGACAUCAGUCCUAUGGUGUCAUGACACUGAUUCAACGAGGGCAAAAUUACAACCGAAGGUGUUUUCAUAUGCACAACUCAUCCUAACCCGUUUAAUCACUUGCAUUUGGUCUAAUAUGAUCAUAAAAUACCACAACUAUAAAUAGAAAAGUUUAAGGUUUAAUUAGGGUUUUAUUCCCUUAGUUAAAUUUUAGUUUUCUAGUUUUAGGUUUCGUUGGAUUGGGAAUUUGCUGUAAACUUCUAUUUUAGAUUCAAUUUUAAUUCAAGUUUCAAUUUCUUCAUCAAUCUUUAGUUUUUCUUUUGCAUUGGCUUUCAAUCGAUGUUUCCUCAACGACUAUUGAUGGGUUUUCGCCUUCCAAGCGCAAUCGACAUAUUAACGCAUCAAAAUUAUAUUUUUCCCUCUUUCUAGUUUGCUAUUUGUUUUAAUGUCCGGAUUGAAUUUAGGGAAAAUUGUAUUUAAACUCAUGACGACCUAAACUUGUAGGAAAAUUAACGACUAGAUGUGGAAUUAAUUAACUGAGGAAUUAAGGUUUUUCUUAGAAUUAGAUGGAUUAAAUUAUGUAUAAUAAAAUUUUAUGAUUGACAACCCUAUAAAGUUAUUUAGGUAAAUGAGGUCGAAAAAAUAGUUUAUCGAGUAUCUCUUAAUUUAACUUGAUUUAAACUGUGAGGUUGAAAGAUAAGUAGUUUCUGUCAAUUAGUUGAUUUAGUUACAGUCUGAAAGGUAAUAACUAAGUUAAUUAUUUGCUAAUUCAUCAAAACCCGAAUUGUGAGGUUAAUUAUGAACACUAAUGUGAGUUAACCUUUUGUCUUUUAUUGAGUGAAUUUCAAUUGUUAGUUUAGUUUUCAUUAAUUUACGAUAGUGUUAUUAAAUUUUAUUUAGAUUUUUCGUAUUAUAAUUUUAGAUUAUUACUAUUCAGACCUGUUAAAGUAGAAAUUAGUCUCUAGUUUUUUAAUCCAGCCUCCUUUGGUACUAUCCUCGGAAUACUUCCAUGUUCCGCUGUAACUUUUAUAUUACAAUCUGACCUGUAUAUUUACGAACAUAAAUAUUAUUUCAUAUCUUUUAUUUGCAAUAUUUCCAACCCCUAUAUUUGCAUGUCGAGGCGAGCAAUCAAAAUUCCACCAACUCGUCCUUAGAAGUAAUAAAUAUAUUACAUAAAUUUUUUUACUUACAUGGUAAGUGGGUCAUAAAUUUUUUUUGAUUUUUUUUCAAAAUAUUUAUUGAAGCAAAUUUACUGAUUAAUCUUUCGUAUUCUGUAAGCCCAUUAAGAGGUAAACGCUUAAGUAUAUAGAAAAUAUAUAAAGCAUACUAAGUAUGUUAGAGCAUUAUUUAGUUUUUUUUUUGUAAACAUUUACAUAAAUUUUUCACUUACAUUAUAAAUGUGUCAUAAUUUAAUCAUAUAUAAAUUUAAAAAUGAUAGUUUUUUUUUGGUACAUCAAAAAGGAUAAUACCAUAACUAGACUAGGCGAGGCCAAGUCAUUCUAGAGCAUUAUCAUGUAGCUUUUGAAGAAUUUCAUCAGGGGGUUGCAUGCCCAAAGGCCUUAAAAAUGUCAUUACUUCCAAUCCAUCGGCUACUCAAUUAUCCUUUUUGGAUACAUGAUGUGUCACCCUAAUCAUCCAAGUCCGUUGAAUAAUUUCUUUAAUACUAACAAUUUAGUAAUUUUAUGAUCUUUAACAACCUUGUUUCCCCGCAUUAUAUAAUUUUAAUUAAUAUUUUAUAAUUAAAAUAAAAAAAUUAUGUAUUCAAAUUAAUCCAAAUUUACCUAACCUUUGAAUUAGAUUGAUAAACUACAUUUAGAUAAAUCUAUUUAUAACAACUUAAUUUUUUAUUUAAAUAUAUAUAUAAUUCAAUAACAACCCAAUUUUUAUUUAAAUUUAAAUAUAAUUGAAUCUUAUAAUAUUUGUAAUUAAUAUAGAGUAGUAAACUAUUCUUAGUCAUGAAUUAAUUUCUUCCACCUAUACUUGCCUGCAAAACCAAAGACAAUGAGAUAAACAAAAAAAAAAAAAGAAAAAAAAAAGAAAAGAAAAGUCAAGAAUGAAGAAAUCCUAGCCUUGAUUUAUGGUUUCAUUAAUUCCACUUUUGGCCCAGAACAUGAAAAUAAAGACAAAAAGUUGUUCAAUUCUUGAUUGAGUCUUAGCUCAGUUGUUCUUGACAUUGUUGCCGGUAUAAGAAGACAUGGUUUCGAGUGCGCUGAAGUGUAUUAUCCUCUUAUUUAAGGUUGGAGAGAGAGAAAAAAAUAAGUUGUUCAAUUGAAGUAAGGGAUCAUUAGUUAUAAUGGGAAAGAAAUUUGUGAAAAUAUUGUUUUGAGUGGUUUAGGUCCUUGUGCUCUUUAAAAAUUUGAAAUUUAGUUCUUAUAUUUUUAUUUCAAGGAAUUUAGUCAUCUUAUUUUUCAGAUUUCAAAAAUCAAGUCUAAUUGAGUGUGUAGGACACCAUUUCAGGCCAAGAAAUUUGAAGAAUGACCCCAAUGUCACGACAUCCAUUAGUAGUGGCAUGACAACCAACUUCGAAGGUCAGAAUGGGGAUGCAAAGACGACAGUGUAGCAAAAAUGAACUUCGAAUGCAAGCUAGGAGAGUAAAAUCGAUGAUGUCGUGACACCCAACUUCGAGGCCAAAGAAGUCUCAUUUGAUGUCUGAUGUCUGAUGUCUUGACAUCAAUCCUAUGGUGUCGCGACACUGAUUCAACGAAGGCAAAAUUACAACCGAAGGUGUUUUCAUAUGCACAGCUCAUCUUAAUCCAUUUAAUCACUUGCAUUUGAUCUAAUAUGAUCAUAAAAUACUAGAACUAUAAACAGAAAAGUUUAAGGUUUAAUUGGGGUUUUAUUCCCUUAAUUUUUAAUUUUUUACUUUUAGGUUUUGUUGGAUUGGGAAUUUGUUGUUAACUUCUUCAUCAAUAUUUAGUUUUUCUUUUGCAUUGGCUUUCAAUCGAUGUUUCCUCAACGACUAUUAACAGGUUUUCGUCUUCCAAGACAAUCAACAUAUCAAGGAAUCAAAGUUAUCUUUUCCCCUUUUUUUAGUUUGCUAUUUGUUUUAAUGCCUAAAUUGAAUUUAGGGAAAAUUGUAUUUAGACUCAUGAGGAGCUAAACAUGUAGGAAGAUUAACGAUGGGAGGUGGAAUUAAUUAAAUGAGAAAUUAGAGUUUUCUUUAGAAUUAGUUGAAUUAAAUUAUGUGUAAUUAAACCCUAAUAUUGACAAUCCUAGUAAGUUAUUUAGGUAAAUGAGGUCGAAAGAAUACUUUAUCGAGAAUCUCUUAAUUUAACUUGAUUUAAACGCGAGGUCGAAAAAUAAAUAGUUUCUGUCGAUUAGUUGAUCUAGUUACAUGUAACACCCUAAACCCGGCCUAGACGUUAUAGCUGAAUUUGGCGAUGUCAUAGGAUAGUGUGUUCGAAAACUAAAUUAUUACAAUAAAAUCAUUUCCAUGUUAUUACCUAUCUUUAUCUCUUAUUAGUUCUAAAGGAAAUUGUUUUACUUAUUUAAAACAUUUGCUUUAAAACGUUUCUCAUUGCGGAAGCUUUUAAAACAAAGCAGUUUAAGUAAUCGUGAGUUUAGAAAAUACGUUAGCUUUUGAAAACCAAACUUCCUACGACUAGCAGUUAUAAUUCCACAAAAAAAUAAAAACCAAAUUUAAGAAAAAGUCCCAAGAGUCCUCAAAUUACAUCCCAAUAACAAUAAAAUCAUAAAACAAAAACUAAAAAAAACGUAAAGUCUAGAAACUGUGGUAACCGUCGAGUCCUCCGCCGUACCAAUCUGUCUAGGUCUGGGGAUUACCUGGGCACAUUAAACAGAGAGGGGUGAGUUUACGUAAACUCAGUGUGUAAUCCCAUAGAAAAUAAACAAUAGUAGACAUAGUGCAUAGUCAAAUACAGUUUUGGGCCUAAGCACCUUUCAGUAUCAGUAAUAGUUUGGGCCUUAGCCCAUCUCAAUACAGUAUCAAAUAUGCAGUAGGGCCUUAGCCCAUCACAGUAUCAGUAUGCAUUAGGGUCUUAGCCCAUCACAGUAUCAGUAGUAGUCAUGCAAUAUUCAGUAACAAAGUCCUACCCAAUCAGCCUCUACACACCAUCUCCAUCCAACCCUACACUCCAUGUGGGGAUAUAAUCAACCUACCCAUCCCUUUGCAGCUGAGCUACCAGUAUAUUAGGCUUAAGAGCCUUUUAGUACACUUCCUCCAAAUAUAAUCAACCCAACCCCAUGCAAUGCAACAUACAAAUCAUGACAUGAUAUCUCAUGAUAUCAGUACAUAUAACCAGUUCAGUAUACAUGCAUACCAUCAUCAUGCUCAAUAUAUAUAAAUCAAAUAGUUAGUUCACACAAUUAGGGGUCUAAGUGAUGCUUACCGACCCUACAGUAGGUUCACAGUUGACUUGGACGACCCGUGCAACCUUAGCAAUCAAUUAAGUGAAAAUGGGCUCACACGCCCAUGUGGCCUACCCAUGUGGGCCUACAUGCCCGUGUGGCCCGUAGAUCCAAUUUGGCCUUGGCUAUCACAGUCGUGUCUUACAUGUACGACCUGGUCUCGUCGAUCGCACAGCCAUGUUUUCUACGUUUCGGGUACACACCUGUAUCGUUUUAGACGUAAAAGCAACUCCAAGCAAUUCCCAACCUAAAAUUGAUCAAUAUUUCACUCCAUUAAUACUUAAACAAUCGAAUUGAACUAAACCCAAAACGGGGUAUUCAUCUAUCGAAUGAAAAACCAUUACCUUAGAUCGAACAACAAAGUCUCUUCACCACCACGACACCGAUCGAAUAACUUCAGCCCUUUAACCUUUUCCAAACACAAAAAAAAUCCCAUUAACCACUAUCCAUAACCUAAAACGAAAAAUGGUACUCACCACACUUACCGAUAAUGCACGAAAAAGUGGCGAAGAACGAGACUUGAAACAACGAUAGUAGGGAAAAUAAAACAAAAAUGAAAACAACAGUAAGAAUGGGGAAAGAAUUCGACAAAGAACAGAGAAGAAGAGAAAGAAAGAAGAAGAAAAAAAUGGAAAAAGAAGAAGUGGAGGAGAAGAUGAUCAGUUUUUUUUCUACAGAGAGAAUUUUUGAGAAACUGUUUUACUUAAAUCCCACUACCUACCCUAUCUCAAUCCCUUAAUUUUCUCUCUCAACUCCCACUACACAUCCACUACUCAGAAUCCCAGUUUAACACAACUCUGGCCGAACUUUAAGCAAAAUUACUACUCCUUGCCAUCGCAGAGAAUCAAACACAAGUCCUCCAACACUCCAACACUCCACUUAACCACUAGAGUAGCUAGCCUAUUCUAAUAUGGUUUUGCAAACAAUUAAAUAAAAGCUUACUGAACAAGAGUAAGACUUAACUUAGAAAAAUUUCAAAAUUUGCCAAAGGCAUGGCUUGAACUUAGGACCUCCCACAUACCCCCAAAACACUUAGCCAAUAAAGCAGACAUAUAUUUGUAUUACACAUUCACAAAAACGAAUAUAGAAAUUUUGGGGCGUUACAUUACAGGUCGAAAAGUAAUAACUAGGUUAAUUAUUAACUAAUCCAUCAAAACCCGAAUUCUGAAGUUAAUUAUGAACACUGACGUGAGUUAAUUUUUUGUCUUUAACUAAGUGAAUUUCAAUUGUUAAAUUAGUUUUCUUUAAUUUAUGAUAGUGUUAUUACUUAAUUUUAUUUAGAUUUUUCAUACUAUAAUUUUAGAUUAUUACUGUUUAGACCUGUUAGCGUAGAAAUUAAUCUCUACUUUAGUCUAACCUCUUUUGAUAUGAUCCUUCAAAUACUUCUGUGUUCCAUUGUAACUUUUAUGUUUUAACUUGACUUAUAUAUUUAGAUAUAUUUUAUUUGCAGUAUUUCCAGCCCUAACAUUUACACGUUGAGGCGAGCAAUCAAAAUUCCAACAACUCGUUUUUUGGAAGUAUUAAAUAUAUUGAGGUCCAACAACUCGUCCUUGAAAGUAAUAAAUAUUAAUAUUUUAAAUAAAUGUAGCCAAACUAAGAUCCAACAACUCGUCCUUGAAGUAAUAAGUAUUAAUAUUUUGAUAUUUUUGUCUUUUUCAUAAAAAAAUUAUAAAAUAUAUAAGCAAUUUGAAUUUAAGUCACCAUGACUUCAACAAUAUUAAAUUUGUCGUUUCUUAAUAUUAUUUAUGUUUUAUAAAUAUUUACAUAAUUUUUUUUUACUUAUAUGGAAAGUGGGUCAUAAUUUUUUUUUUUGGUUUUCCAAAAUAUUCAUUGAAGCAAGCCUAGUGAUUAAUCUUUCGCAUUCUGUAAAACUAUUAAGAGCUAAACGCUUAAAUAUAUAUAUAUAUAUAUAUAAUAUAAAGCAUACUAAUCAGUAUGUCUUAAUUUUAUCAUUUCAAUCAUAGCAUUAUUUAAUUUUUUUUCAUAAACAUUUACAUAAUGUAACGCCCUAAUUUUCGGGAAUUCUUUGAAUGUUGGCAUAGGUUUAAUUAUGUUAGUGGGCCUCUAGAAGGCCCAAGCUUAAGAUAGAACCCGACAAUUUUAGUUAACUUUUGUUCCAUAAGAAAAAGGGAGUGAAAUUAUGAAAUAGGACCUAUGUGAAAAUGUUUGAAAAUGCUAUAGGCUAAAUUGAAGUGGCCAAAUAAAUAGGAGUGCAAAAUAGGAGGAUUUGCAAGACAAACCUCCCAUUUUACAUGAAGUGGCCAGCCAUCAUGUUGUUGUUGACAAAAUGUGCACUUUGAUAUCCAUAAUUUAUGGUACAAAUUGAUACAAAUUGAUAAUAGGUUAGGUAAAUGUUCCAUGAUAAUGGAUUAGGUAAAUGUUUCAUGAUAAUGUGUUAGGUAAAUGUUUCAUGAUAAUGGUUUAGGUAAAUGUUUCAUGAUAAGAAUUUCAUGUCUUUUGUAUUAAAGAAUUAAAUGGAUGAAAUAUGAAGUUUUAUUAAAAGAAAAAGGGGUGAAAAGAAUAAAGUUUUGUCCAUCUUUGUUCAUCAUAGCUGAAAGUUAGAGAAGAGAAAGGAGAGGAGAAAGCUCUUGAGUAUUCGGUCAUUAGGAGGAGGAAAAUUGAAGGUAAGUUCUUGGUACCUUGCUUCUAUUUUGAGGUUCAUGAGUUCUUCUAGAUUCUACCUUAACUCUUGAAGUAUAUUUUGAUUUUUAGUUGUGUUGUGAGCAUUUAGUCAUGAAUUAAAAUGAAGGAAAUGGUUGUUGUUUCAUGUUCUUUUGAUGAAAAAUGGAAGAUAGGUGAAGUUGAGCCAAACAAAUGAGCAUGCAUGUGCCUUAGAUGUUAAAGGGAAAAAAAUCAGCUAACAUUUUGUGCUUUAAAAUGAUGAAAUGGAGAUUAUUCUUAAGUAAAAUCAUAGUUAUGUGAUGAUUGAUUGGUGAUAUACAUGUUUAAAUAACAUGCAUGCAAGGUAUGUGUGAAAGAGUGAUUUGGUAAUAAAUCUGCUUGGGACAGCAGCAGUAAUGUGACUUUGGAAAAUCACCAUAAAUUGUGGGAGAUAAAUUAGAAGCUGAAUAAAUUAUUUAAUUAAAUCUUAUUGAGUCUAGUUUCUAAUGAAAUAAACAAGAACAUAUUUUGAAUUCUGUACAAUGAGAAAUUUGAUUCGUAAUGAAGAGUGGUCAGAUUAGUCAAACAGUGAAACAUGAGAAACUUUGAGAAAAAUCUGGUAUUGAUUGGCUAAACCAAAAAUUCUGAAAAUUUUAUGGACAGAAGAUAUAUGAGUCUAUUUUCAGGUAAAAUUAACGGAACUUGAUUUGGAGUUUCGUAGCUCCAGUUAUAAAUAAUUUAGUGACUGUUUCUCAGGAAGACAGCUUGCAGCGAAAUUAUGAUUAUGUGGUAAACAUUGACAAAAAUUUGUUAAUGAGUUGCUUAUUGAUUUCUUAUAAGCUUACUAUGAUCUGUAGGUGUGGUUGGCCGAAUAUUGUAAGGGGUUAAUCGUAGUUUGUAUUUGAAUAGUUAGAUUAACGUGUUAGUAAUCCAAUUGUAGGCGGUUCGUGUGUCGAUCACAUCAGCAUAUCGUCGCAAACAGGUGUGUAACUAACACCCUCUUUCUUAGUUUGGAUCGGCAAAAGUCGAAAAGCCGAAAUGCCGAAAACCGAUAUUUUGUAGAUUUGUGAGUGUGCGAAUGCUCGUGAGGUAAAUCGAUUAAUGUUUUUGGUAAGCUGCAAUGUUUGGAUUGCAAAGUGCAUGAUUUCUGUGCCCUCGAUAUUUUUGGGCUUAAUGGGCCAAAAUUGGAAUGAUGGGCCAACGGGCCCAAUUCGGUAAGAACCCUCGGUACGUGAUUCUGUAGUACGUGAAAGGUAGGAAUAUGUAUGAAAAACCCUAAAAUAGAUAAAUUACUGAAAUACCUUUAAAAAUGAAAAAUUUACAGUUUUACCCCUAGGAGAUAAAUUACCGAAAUACCCCUAGGGUUAAAUUGACCUAAAUGCAUGUUUAACUGUUGUUAUUUACUGCAUGCCAUGUUGUUAUUAUCUGAUGCAUGGGAUUGGGAUAUUGACGGAGGAAUUACUGAAAGUGGCUUGUCCACGUACUGGAGGCUUUGCCUCAAUUUACUGUUAACUGAGCAGCAAGGCUGCAACUGUGGAGUGUUGGGCUGGGUGGGUUGAGCUAUUCCCCACAUGGAGUGUAUGGCUGGUACGGGUGGAUUGUAGUGGUUGGUGGGUUGAGUAGUCUCCCCAAAUGGGCUUGCAUAUGUUAUUGAUGUUGCAUGUAUUUUGAAAUGGGCCUAUGGGCCAUACUGUUAUCUGAAUAAGGGGAUAAGGCCCAGUUUAUUGUAAUCUGAAAAGGGCUCUGGCCCAGUACCACUGUUACCUGAAUGGGCUUAGGCCCAAUAGGCUUGAGCUGACUUGGGCUUUGAAUGGGUUUUCCUUACACACUGAGUUUCCCCAAACUCACCCCUUUUAUUUUCAUCCACGCAGGAAAUCCCCAACCAUAGUGGGCUUGGAGCUGUGAGGGAAUUCGGAGUGGCCACCCGUUCUGAAAGUUUGAUUUUCUUCUGGUGAACUGGACAUCCUUUUAAUUACGUUUGAGGUUUUGGGCUUUUAAAUGUAAUAAGGCCGCUUAUUUAUUUUUGAUGGUUUUUAAUAUGUAUUACUAAGAUAAGUAAUACUUAUUUUAACUGUUGAAAUUGGAUAGCUUUAGGGCGCGUUUUCAAAAACAACAGUUGAUUUCAAAAUAACACGACAACAAGCAAAGCUUCCGCAAUGAAAGUAUUUUCCAAAAUUAAUCACUUUUCCUAAAAAUGACUUAAUCGAAUCGGUUUCCUAGAAAUAUCCAUGAUGUUAAGGUGUGGCAAUGGCGGUAUGCAUGUCUAGGAUUGGAUCCGAAGGGAGCUUGGUACUUAAGCAGUCCGAUGGACUCACCACCUCUUUUCCGGUUUGCUACCUGGUGCACAGCUUCCAUUCACCUUAACCCUUAAUGAAUUAAUCUUUUGAACAUCAAGUACGAUUUUCUGGACUUAGAAUGGAAAAUUUUUUAAUGUUUUUGAUGUGGCAUGCCGGAUCCGGCCAUAACUUCUGGGCCGGGUUUGGGGUGCUACAAAUAAAAUUUUCACUUACAUUAUAAAUGUGUCAUAAUUUAAUCAUAUAUAAAUUUAAAAAUGAUAAUUCUUUUUUGGUACAUGAAGAAGGAUAAGACCAUAACUAGAUUAGGCGAGGUCAAGUCAUUCUAGAGCAAUUAUCAUGUAGUUUUUGAAGAUUUUCAUCCGGGGGUUGCAUAUAGCUAUACAUGCUCAGAGACCUUGAAAAUAUCAUUACUGCCAAUCCAUCGGCUACUCAAUUAUCCUUUUUGGAUACAUAAUGUGUCACCCUAGUCAUCCAAGUCCGUUGAGUAAUUUCUUUCAUUCUAACAAUUUAGUAGUUUAUAAUUAAAUUAAAAAUUUAUGUAUUCAAAUUAAUCCAAAUUCACCUAACCUUUGAAUUAGAUUGAUAAACUACAUUUAGAUAAAUCUAUUUAUAACAACUUAAUUUUUAUUUAAAUUUAUAUAUAAUUCAAUAACAACUUAAUUUUGUAUUUAAAUUUAAAUAUAAAUCAAUCUUAUAAUAUUUGUAAUUAAUAUAGAGUAGUAAACUAUACUAAGUCAUGAAUUAAUUUCUUCCUCCUAUACUUGCCUGCAAAACCAGAGACAAUGAGACAAAAAAAGAAAAAAAAGUCAAGAAUGAAGAAAUCCUAGCCUGGUUUCAUUAAUUCCACUUUUGGCCAAGAAAAUGAAAAUAAAGACAAAAAGUUGUUCAAUUAUUGAUUUAUGGCCAAGAAAAUGAAAAUAAAGACAAAAAACUGUUCAAUUAUUGAGUCUUAGCUCAGUUGCUAUUGAAAUUGUUGCAGGUGUAAGAGGAUGUGGGUUCGAGUGAGCUGAAGCGUAUUAUCCUCUUAUUUAAGGUUGCAGAGAGAAAAAAAAUAAGUUGUUCAAUUGAAGUAAAGGGAUCAUUAGUUAUAAUGGGAAAUAGAUUUGUGAAAAUAUUGUUUUGAGUGGUUUAGGUCCUUGUGCUCUUCAAAAAUUUUGAAAUUUAGUUCUUAUAUUUUUAUUUCAAGGAAUUUAGUCACAUUAUUUUUCAGAUUUCAAAAAUCAAGUCUAAUUGUUAACUCUAUUGUUUUUAAUUUGUUAAAUUUGUUGGUGUAACAUACUGAAAUAAAAAAGAUACUCACUUGGUAGCAAUAUAAUUAAAAAAUUGCCAUUGCAAUGAAGGUGAAUUUAACAAAAUAAUUUGAAUGAUGUUAACAAUUAGAUCUGAAUUUUGAAAUCUCAAAAAUAGAGGGACUAAAUUUCUAGAAAUAAAAGUACAAGGAUUAAAUUCUAAAUUUAUAAAGAGGGUAGGGACUUAUGUCACAUUUUAACCUUGAAAAAUUUGUAGAUUCUCACAUCCCUUCAAAUUUGCUGAAUUUUCAAAUAUUAAAUGUUUGAUGUGAUUUUUCAAAAAAUUUGCAGAAAUUUUGUUGAAGAAUUAAUGGUUUGCAGUUGACAAGUUGACUUAUGCAUCACAGGAAAACUGAUAGUUUGAUUAAUCUAUUUGCUUGUAUAAUAUUUGAAUUGAUCACUCUGCAAGAGACUAAUUACGGGCAAGUAACAAACAGGAAAGGCAUUUGGUAAAUUUCAGAAUUAGUAGCUUCUUUUUUUCUUGAGCUUAGAAUGUUCCAAGCUAAUUAAUUAAUAUUUGUUUUGUGUUAUCUAGGAAGAAAGCUCUGCAAUAGAUCAACAAAAAUGGAACUAUCGAUAAACUUCAUGCUUAUGUCCUCCGGUGAACCUGAGGAACCUGAAGAGAACAUCACUUACAUGGAUGCUUCGUUGUACAAGGCAGCAGCAGAAGGCAACAUUGAAGUAACUUAGAAAUUAGGUUUUCUAGUUAGUGAAUUCCAAAUAGUUAAUAUUAUUAAUUUUUCAGGUUAAAACAUUACAUGAUUUAUGAAGGAAAAAAGAUUUUUUUAUAUUGAUUUUUUUUAAGAAAAAAUAUUUAUAAUUGCUUGUUUGUUUUAUAAUUACAAGUUAAUAUUUUUAUCUAAAUAUUUUUUAUAUAUCAGAAACUAUUUUUAUUAAAAGUAUAAACAAGAUUCAAGAGACCUUUGUUGUGAAGUUCAUCAACUUUUAUUAAAAAUGAUUGAAUGAAAAUAAAAAUUGAAAUUAGUAAAUCGAAGGAUUAUUACGUAGAUUAAUUAUACAAAUAUUAGGUAGACAAUUUUAAUUAAAAUUAUGAAAAAAAAUAACUAAUAAAAAUUUCGAGUCAAAUGUUGAAAGUAACCAUCGUUAAUCGUAUAUAGCAAGAAUAGCAUAGUAAAAUUAGGGUGCUUUCACCAAUUAUGGAAGCAUAUAUCGUUAAUCGAAUUGAAUUUCAAGAAAACCUAGCCUUUAUGGUUUGUUUAAUCCACCCUUUGGGCGAGAAAAUGAAAAUAAAAACAAAUUUUUGUUCAAUUGAAGUAAAUGAAUUAUUAGUAGAGGUGUUCAUGGCCGGGUCAAGACUAAUGAUAAAUGCCAAAAGUAAUAUGUUUUAAUAUCAUUUUUAAUCCGUUUUUAGAUGAUUAUUUGAUGUAAAAUGGUGAAUUUUAUGCUUCUAAUUCUUUAAAUUCAUGCUUCUAUACUUAGGAGAGUAUUUAAGAACAAAAGUAGCGAAAAUCAGAAAAUCGGAGUAACUUUUAGGAGCCACACGGGUUGGUCACACGGUCGUGUGAGCUUGCGACACGGCAAUGUGCCAGACCAUGUCAAAAUCGCAAAUUGCACUUCAAACACGCGGAAAAAAUGUAAAUUUUAGGUUUUUCGGGCAUUUUAAUACCUAUAUGAUAAACCAUAAUAUAUACAUAUUUUUAUCCCAUGCUUGGCACAUUUAUGGAUGAUUUAUCAUUAGAUUUAUGAAACUUGAUGCUUCUAAUCAUUUAAUUUCGUGUUUUAUACUUAGGCGAGCAUAAGGAAGCGAAAGGAGCAAGAAACGGGUAAAAAACAGACAAAAUGGGCCGAAAUCAGUAUUCAACACGACCUAAACCUUCACACACGGGUAGACCACACGCCCGUGUGUGACACACAGAUUAGAGGUGUUCCAGAAAUGUCUGCAAUCGAGUAAAUAGCUCUACGAACUAAUGGAUCGGAUCGAAUUGCAAAGGAAAUUUUAAAUCCGUUCUCUCAAACCAAGAAAAAGAUGUUGAAGAAGAUUAUGAUAAAUCAGAAAAAAAACGUAGAAAGAAAAAGCAAUACAAGAGCAACACGGAAGCAGAGCUUGAUUUCUUCCUAAAAAGGUAUUUGCGUUUUCAAUUGAGAUGGGAUGAUUCUUUAAAUCAAAGAAUAAUCAAUAAUAUCAAAGUAUAUUGCCUCCUGCUUAGACUGAUAAAUCCAAACGAAAUUGUUAUAUCCUCUAUUCAACGGGGAGAGAUGAAUCUGGAUAUUUUGAUGAUUCAGAAGGAUUUAACUCUUAGAGAAUUAAUGAAAAAAGGAAUAUUGAUUAUCGAUCCAGUUCGUCUGUCGGUAAAAAAUGAUGGACAAUUUAUUCUAUAUCAAACUAUAAGUAUUUUGUUGGUUCAUAAAAAUAAACACCAAAUUAAUCAAAGAUACCAAGAAAAAAACAAUAUUGAUAAAAAUCAUUUUUGUGAAUUUAUUUCAAGACAUCAAAAGAUGACUGAAAACGAACACGGCCUGAGCAACCUCACACGGGUGUGUCCUUGACGUGACCUAUUUUAAUUCUACUCGGAAACGGCUAAUUUUGGGAUAAGAGAGGUAUUCCAAAGUCUAUAAAAAAAACCCUAAGGGGAGGAGAAAAAAGGACACGCAGAGUAGAGAGUAAGGAUUACUCGAAGAAAGCCGAUUGAUUUAUCUCAGAAGCCGGAAUCUCCUUCAAGACUGAAGAUUUCCCUUCAAUUUCCUUCAAGGGUUUCUGGGUUUCUUUAUGUUUUGUUAUUUUCCAAUAUUUGAGAUGUUUUCCAUUAUGAAUAUGAACUAAAUCCCCUAAAUAACUGAGGGGGAUGAAAGCUAAGACAGAUCUUGUUAUUAUUUUUCUGAAUUAUAUGAUAAAUAUUUGAUUUGUUCUAAAUUGUGUUAUUAAUUCUUAUUUUAAUAUUUUAGGAUAUUAAUUCAAUUUGAAUGUGCUUAUUCAGUGGAGCAAAAGUCCCUGUUUAAGAGUAGAUUCAACACUAUUAAGCGGAGUUGAUCGCAAUCCUAGACAUAGGACGACGAAAAUCUGCCGAAUUAGAGUCAAAUCUAAUAGGGAAAUCCAUAGAUCAAGUUAAUGCAAUACUAGGGGUUUUAAUUAGAAAGAAAUUUCAAUUAAUCAACCUAGGCAUUAGAAACAAGUCAGGACUAAAUCGGGACUCAAAUAAUUUUUCACAAAAUUUUAAAAUUUUUCUUAGGUUAAGAGGUCACACGCCCGUGUGGUCAGGCCGUGUGGUGCACACGGCCAGGUGACAAGCCCAUGUCUUAGGCUGUGUGGUAUACGAGGUAGGGCACGCGCCCGUGUCCCUAACCCAUAUAACUCUCUGACUUGCAACUUAAUUAAGUGCAAGGGUUAUAUGGCCAAGAAAGGUCAGCGGGGUUGAGAAGUAGGUUAAUUGGGUGGAUUAGGGACUGAUUGAUAUGACCGAUUUAGAGUUGACCUAGUUAGGUGAAAAGUUGAAGUUCAUAACAACCCAAUUUUUAUUUAAAUUUAAAUAUAAUUGAAUCUUAUAAUAUUUGUAAUUAAUAUAGAGUAGUAAACUAUUCUUAGUCAUGAAUUAAUUUCUUCCACCUAUACUUGCCUGCAAAACCAAAGACAAUGAGAUAAACAAAAAAAAAGAAAAAAAAAAGAAAAUAAAAGUCAAGAAUGAAGAAAUCCUAGCCUUGAUUUAUGGUUUCAUUAAUUCCACUUUUGGCCCAGAACAUGAAAAUAAAGACAAAAAGUUGUUCAAUUCUUGAUUGAGUCUUAGCUCAGUUGUUCUUGACAUUGUUGCUGGUAUAAGAAGACAUGGUUUCGAGUGCGCUGAAGUGUAUUAUCCUCUUAUUUAAGGUUGGAGAGAGAGAAAAAAAUAAGUUGUUCAAUUGAAGUAAGGGAUCAUUAGUUAUAAUGGGAAAGAAAUUUGUGAAAAUAUUGUUUUGAGUGGUUUAGGUCUUUGUGCUCUUUAAAAAUUUGAAAUUUAGUUCUUAUAUUUUUAUUUCAAGGAAUUUAGUCAUCUUAUUUUUCAGAUAUCAAAAAUCAAGUCUAAUUGAGUGUGUAGGACACCAUUUCAGGCCAAGAAAUUUGAAGAAUGACCCCAAUGUCACGACAUCCAUUAGUAGUGGCAUGACAACCAACUUCGAAGGUCAGAAUGGGGAUGCAAAGACGAUAGUGUAGCAAAAAUGAACUUCGAAUGCAAGCUAGGAGAGUAAAAUCGAUGAUGUCGUGACACCCAACUUCGAGGCCAAAGAAGUCUCAUUUGAUGUCUGAUGUCUGAUGUCUUGACAUCAAUCCUAUGGUGUCGCGACACUGAUUCAACGAAGGCAAAAUUACAACCGAAGGUGUUUUCAUAUGCACAACUCAUCUUAAUCCAUUUAAUCACUUGCAUUUGAUCUAAUAUGAUCAUAAAAUACUAGAACUAUAAACAGAAAAGUUUAAGGUUUAAUUGGGGUUUUAUUCCCUUAAUUUUUAAUUUUUUACUUUUAGGUUUUGUUGGAUUAGGAAUUUGUUGUUAACUUCUUCAUCAAUAUUUAGUUUUUCUUUUGCAUUGGCUUUCAAUCGAUGUUUUCUCAACGACUAUUAACAGGUUUUCGUCUUCCAAGACAAUCAACAUAUCAAGGAAUCAAAGUUAUCUUUUCCCCUUUUUCUAGUUUGCUAUUUGUUUUAAUGCCUAAAUUGAAUUUAGGGAAAAUUGUAUUUAGACUCAUGAGGAGCUAAACAUGUAGGAAGAUUAACGAUGGGAGGUGGAAUUAAUUAAAUGAGAAAUUAGAGUUUUCUUUAGAAUUAGUUGAAUUAAAUUAUGUGUAAUUAAACCCUACUAUUGACAAUCCUAGUAAGUUAUUUAGGUAAAUGAGGUCGAAAGAAUACUUUAUCGAGAAUCUCUUAAUUUAACUUGAUUUAAACGCGAGGUCGAAAAGUAAAUAGUUUCUGUCGAUUAGUUGAUCUAGUUACAUGUAACACCCCAAACCCGGCCUAGACGUUAUAGCUGAAUUUGGCGAUGUCAUAUGAUAGUGUGUUCGAAAACUAAAUUAUUACAAUAAAAUCAUUUCCAUGUUAUUACCUAUCUUUAUCUCUUAUUAGUUCUAAAGGAAAUUGUUUUACUUAUUUAAAACAUUUGCUUUAAAACGUUUCUCAUUGCGGAAGCUUUUAAAACAAAGCAGUUUAAGUAAUCGUGAGUUUAGAAAAUACGUUAGCUUUUGAAAACCAAACUUCCUAUGACUAGCAGUUAUAAUUCCACAAAAAAUAAAAACCAAAUUUAAGAAAAAGUCCCAAGAGUCCUCAAAUUACAUCCCAAUAACAAUAAAAUCAUAAAACAAAAACUAAAAAAAACGUAAAGUCUAGAAACUGUGGUAACCGUCGAGUCCUCCGCCGUACCAAUCUGUCUAGGUCUGGGGAUUACCUGGGCACAUUAAACAGAGAGGGGUGAGUUUACGUAAACUCAGUGUGUAAUCCCAUAGAAAAUAACACUGUCUUGGUAUAAAAAAUAACGUAUGGCAGUAUUAAUGUAAUGCCCCGAAUUUUGGUCUUAGAAGUUUUGAGUUUUGAGCUGAGUUUUGACCGUAGGGACAGUAGGGAGGUUGCACAUAUGUGUAUAGAUGUGCAUUUUAGUAUUAGAAUGAGUUUGCUGAUCUGAUGAUUGAGUGAGUGUUAAAGAAUCUCAUGGUUGUGGGUUCGAGUCUAGUGUGAACGUUUUGUUGAGAUAUUUUUAGUAGUUCUUAUUUAUGUUAUUUAUUUAUUAUUUGUUUUAAGUUUAUUUUGAUUUCUUUUAUUUUGAUUUUUCUUCUUUCAUGUUUUUCUGCUUCUUUGCUGGUUGGGUUCGAGAAUUUUGCUCCUCUGCCGUUUUCUUCAUCGUCAAAUCAAGUGUGGGAAUCGAAACUUGACUAUACUAUCUUAUUUGCUUUUGUGAACUUUUGUUUGGUAUAUCUUGAGGGUAUGUUAAACCGUUAGGUUUUGGUUGUAAUCGUGGAAAGUUAGGGGAGUGCUUCAUGUUUGGGGUUAUAUUCUGUUAUUGCUAAGGUUGGGGACGACUUUGGGGGCUAAAAGUGUGUUUUUGGGGCUAUUUUUGGGAUGGUUUUGUGACUACCCAGUCGUCCACACUGGCGUGUACUGAAGCACACGGGCAUGUGAUUUUGGGAAUUAGGGUUUUCGGGCCAAUUUUGGUGCCACAUGGCCGUGAGGUCGAUAUGGGGAUUUGUCGAUUUUCACACAGUCGUGUCCCUUGGGCACACGAGUGUGUGAAUUUAGGAAUUAAGGAUUUAGGGAUUUGGAGUCACAUGGCCUGGCCACAUGGCCGUGUAGCCGAUUUGGUAAUUUUGUUGAUUUUCACACGGCCGUGUCCACUGGGCACAUGGGUGUGUGAAUUUUAGAAUUAGGGAUUCGAGGAUUUUGAGUCACACGGCCUGGCCAUACAGUCGUGUGGCUGAUUUGGGGAUUUAGGGAUCCUAUAUGGACGUGUGUUUUGGAACACACGGCCGUGUCUGGUGGGCACAUGAGCGUGUGAGACCUUCACAUGGCCGUGUUUGCCUUUCACUCUUUUUAGCAAUUAGAUAGUGAGUUACACGGCUUGUUCACACGGUUGUGUCCCUACUACACACGGGCGUGUGCUUUUGCCACACGACCGUGUGCUACUCUCCACAUGGGCUUUUGGACCCCCACAUGGCCUAGAUUAUCCCACAUGGCCGGGGCACAUAGACGUGUGGCCCUAUCUCGUCAGAUUUUGGUUUUAGGUUAAAUUUAAGUGUAAUCGUGUGUUGCAACCCUCGGAUAAACUUUAGUGAGGGUAACUACGACUCUGCUCUAGGCUUGAUAUAUGCAUUACUUAUGAUUGGUUGUGUAACAUGUCUGAUACUGAAUCCGAGUAAUUGAGUGUACACUUUUUUUAUUCUGAUUGUUUGGAUGUGAGUGUUUGUCUAUAAAUGAACGUUUGAAACUGGUGUCCUGAUUCUGUACGUCUGUUUGAAUAUACAUACUUGAAUAAAGCAUUUUGGGGUGGGAUUUUAAAGAGAAGAGAGACUGAUACCGAUCUGAUCUGGCAGUUUAACUGCAACUUACAGGUAUAGUAGUCUACCGCAUUGCAUUAUAUCACAAAUACGUCAGUCUCAUUGCGUAUUACUAUUAUCUGAUCUGACAGUACUAACUGCAUGACUGUACAGUGGAUUUUCGCAUUGCACAUUAUAGCACAUACGCCAUAUUUGCUACAUAGUAUAUAUGAUUUGGCAAUUUAACUGCUUAUUGCUAGCCUCAAUUCCCAAAGGGUCGUGGGCAGUCCCAAUUCCCUGAGGGUCGUGGAAUUUUCUGAUAGCCAUCGUUUUUGGGAAACCCGUGAUAACAUUAUUGGUGUGCAGGUUUAGAUGGGCUUUACAAGGUCUUAUGUGGUGUGAUUGGUGAGAUGAGCUCAAACAAUUUUUUUUGAACAAAAGCUCAAACAACUCUUAUGUGGUGUGAUGGGGGAUGAAGAGGUGUGUUGGCUGGAUUAGUGGGUUUUAUAACUCGACUGCAUUGCAUAUGCAUCUGUUCAGUGUUCUGUCUAAGCAACGCUUGUAUUAAAUCACCUGUGUGAACUUAGUAAAUUCUGUUUGUUUUUGUCUAUUUGAAUGGUAUGUGAGUCUGAUUCUUUUAUAUGAUUGAAAAGUACUUAUGGUGUGUGCCUGACUGUGAGCUAAUAUGCUUAAAUUGUCAUUUGUCGGUAAGUUUAUUUCGAUGGUAUCAAUUGUUUCUAAAUAAUUUUGUAAGCACGUUCCGUUUCUAAACUGCUUCUGGCUUUCUAUUUCUGAUUUUGUAGUUAGUUGGUUUUGAACUCACACUGAGCUCGAGUAGUUCACCCCCUACUAUUUCCCUUUCAUGUACAUUUUAGAAUUCUGUUGGUGGACUCGGUAAGCUGAGGUCUCAGACAGUCUUGGUGGAAAUAAAAUUAUCAGCUUGUAUUUUCAAUUUUUAAUUACUAAUCGAAUUUAGAACUGUCAGGUUUUGUAAACACUGUGGUACUAGUUUUGUUUUGACUUUUCACAUAACUCCAAUUUUGUUUGAGAUUUAAAUUUAACUGCAACCUUUCUGUUUCAAGUAUAAGGGAUUGAAUGCUCAUGUUUUGUAAAAUUUUCCCACGAUCACUUCGGUGAUCGAUGUAGCAUCCUGAAUUAGGUCUAAACUUCUAAGCCGGGUUUAGGGUGUUCAAUUAACUUUUCCACGAAGAGCUGUAGACCCUAUUUUCUUCCAUUCUUUUUUUCAGUUUGUUUACUUCUUUGCAAUUUUCUUAAAACAAAAUUUCACCACCAGAACAAUUUUGUAAGGGGCCAGAUGAAAUUUUAAUUUUUUAUAGUCUAAAUCUUUAUAAUUUUUGAAGGAUUAAAUUGAAUUUUUAUAAUUUUAGGGGGGCCAAAGUACAUUUUAAACUUUACUAUUUUAAAAAAUUUCAAGGGCCUAAAUAAUAAUUUUACAUUUUAGGGGGACCCGGGUACCUGCAGCCCCCUAGAUUGGCCCUUGUCACCAUAAAAAGAUCCUACUUUGUUGAUCUGACCUCUAACCCUAUAUAUUACUAUUACUAAAGUGUUCAAGUAUGACUUUUUAUAUAGUUGUCAUCUGUAGGUGACUUGAAUGUAGUAUUCGCAAGCAAGUAACUAACUGGUAUGGCAUUUGGUAAAUUUCUGAAUUUGCAAUAUUUUUUUUUCUUGAGCUUGGAAUGUUUCAAGCUAAUUAAUUAAAAUUUGUUGGGUGUUUUCCUGGAAGAAAUAUAUCAACAAAGAUGGGAUCUGAGGAGCUUGAAGAGAACAUGGAUGCUUCGCUGUAUAAGGCAGCAGCAGAAGGCAACAUUGAAGAAUUCAAUAAGCAGGGGCUUCAACUUGAGUCGCUAAAGACCCCAACCCAUGACAACGUGCUCCAUGUUAACUUGGCAACCCAGGAGAAUGCUGCCUGGCCUUUCAGCAUAUUUUUAUCAAUAAUCAAAUUCUACCCCUUAAUUAAAUUCUAUCCCUUAAUACAUGGAUGCUUCUCUUCAUCUUUGCUUAAUUUAAUUACUAGGAUAAGAGGAGAAAAAAGAUCAGAUUUUAUCGAACGAAUUCUCAGCGAGUGUCCGUCACUGCUACUCCAAACGAAUGCUAAAGGUCAAACUCCUCUGCACUAUGCAGCAAAGAAUGGACACUCUGCUAUUGUGAAACUUCUAAUCAAGUCUUGCGCAAAACCUAGAACUGGAGAUUUAGAGCAGGGAACGGAUCAAGGAAGUGCAGUGAGGGAGAUGCUUAGGAUUAGGGAUAAGGAAUCCAACACGGCUUUACAUGAAGCAGCACGGUGUGGCAAUGUUGAAGUGCUGAAAGCAUUGUUGGAGUUUAAAAACCCUGAUUUUCCGUAUUCUGCCAACGAAAAACAGGAGACUCCACUUUACAUAGCAGCUAGGAGGAGAGGAUCUGGGCGCUUGUUGACUCUAUUAUUACGUGAAUUCGGAUCAACGCCUCAUGGCGGCCCCCACGGUAGAACAGCUUUGCAUGCAGCGGCUAUGGCUGGAGAUGCAGGUAUGUUGUUUAGUUCCAAUUUUUUUAAAAAUUUUUUUGAAAUAAAUAAAUAACAGGUCUAUUGACAUCUUUUUUUUUUGCUUGGAUUUAGAGGCAAUAAGGGUAAUAUUAGAGAAGGAGAAUUUGACGAAGGAAAGAGAUGAAGAUGGACACACCGCUCUUCAUUAUGCUGCACACUUGGGUUCUAGAAUAUCAGUUGUGGAAGAACUGUUAAAAAGGGAUAUAUCAGCUGCCUAUAUAGGUGAUGGUAAGAGGGGGAUGACACCCUUCUUAUGGCAGCCAGGCAAGGUGAUGUUAGAACAGUUUUAAGGAUUAUCUCUUUAUGUCCAGAUUGUUGUGAAAAAGUGGACGACAAAGGUUUGAAUUUACUUCAUUAUUUGGCUUUUAGAGGCUCUUUCACUCUAUAUGGGCGUUCUCUUUUGAAGCUUGGUGGUAUUGAGAUUGCAUAUGGAUCACUCAGAAAUCUAAUGGAGUUGAAAGCUGACUUUGGGAUGACACCUCAAGAAGUUUAUAAUGCACUUAUAUCUGAGACACAGCAUCAUAAGCAGGUGUGUAUAUAUAUUGCAUUUCCAUGACUAUGGUUUAAUAUUAAUAUUUAAGUUUUGAGUUAACAUAUUUAUUAAACUUACAAUACGAUGGGCUAAUGUGGGUGGCAUGGCAGAAGCAAAUCAAAGAAUUGUUGGAAGAAAUUGAGAAUGAUCAAGUGGCGGAGGAACCAGUUCAUCACUUUCCAUUACGAAAUGUUUCUUCAGAAAGCUUGGAGAAGACAAUAAAUGCUCAUUUAGUAGUGGCAGCACUUAUAGCCACCGUCACAUUCGCAGCGGCAAUAACUGUUCCUGGUGGUUUAAAUAGUGACAAAGGGUCAGAGCAAGGCACUCCCCUUUUGUUUGAUAAGGCAGCCUUUAAAGCAUUUUUUGCAACAAAUACAAUAGCCUUUAUUCUCUCUGUUAUUGUCCUCGCCAACCACUUCGGGAUUUUGGAUACUAUAUUAUCAGGAUUUAGUUUUUGGCGUCGAUCGGUUUUUUAUCGAACGCAGUCUGUUGCUCAAACACUUGGCAUUGCAACAUUGAUGAUGG